This 1708-nucleotide long non-coding RNA is filed under the name Gossypium barbadense (sea-island cotton). Its description in RNAcentral is "long non-coding RNA (GBAR_LNC014042)". The record is from RNAcentral. Lineage: Eukaryota; Viridiplantae; Streptophyta; Magnoliopsida; Malvales; Malvaceae.
UAUUCUUGGCCGAAACUAAAAGAGAAAGAAAAUAAGAAACAAGCUAGGUAUUCGACACUUUCAAGUCUUGAUUAAGGUAUGUAUUUUGUUGGGUUUUUGAUAAUUUUUACGUUUUUGAGAUCGUUGUUUCGUGUUCUUUAAAACCCAUGUCUUAAUUUUGUGAAUUGUGGAUAAUUUUGAAAUGUGCCAUUGAUGAAUGUUUGAGUUUCAUGAUGUUAGUUGAUGAAAUGUGAAAUAUAAGUGUUAGAUUAACAUAUUUUGUCUUUGAAUUUUUGGUGAAUUUGAGUAAUUAGGGCUAAAUUGAGAAAAUAAAAUUUUGAGGGACUAAAAUGCAAAAUAAAUGAAACGCAUGGGCUUGUAUGAAUACAAGGAAAAUUCGAUCCUUAAGGAGUAUAGUUAAAUUUUGUGUUUUGAGCAAAAAGGAUUAAAUUGUAAAAAGUGUGAAAUAUUAGGGGCAAAAUUGUAAUUUUCCUAUUUAUGUGUAUUUAGGCCAAAUUGAAUAGAAUGGUGUUUAAAUAAGCUUAAUUUGAAUAUGUUUAGAUCAAGAAUUAAAGAAAUCGGAUUUGGAUCAUGAAAAGACAAAAGUGGUCGAGUUGCCGAUUUAACCAUUCAACAACGUCCGAGGUAAGUCAAUAAGCAUUUAAAUGUUGAACUACCUAUGAUAUAUAUAUACAUUGAAAUGAAUUAUUUGAAGUUAUAUAAGCUAGGGCCGAAUGUUAUAUUGUGAAUUGAUUAUAUUCCGAGAAUUAUUUAAAUUAGAUGUGAAUUAUGUGAAAGACCGAUUUUGUAAGUUCAGGCUUUAUGCCUAGCAGGCUUUGUGCCGGUGAAUUAUAUCAGACUUUAUGUCUAGCAGGCUUUGUGCCGGUGAAAUGUAUCGGGCUUUGUGCCUAGCAGGCUUUAGCCGGUGUUUUAUACAAGGCUUUAUGUUCUAUAAAUCUUAUGUGAGCAAUAGUAAGAGUAAAUAAAAGUGUUAAGGAAAGCUAAAUUAUUCAGGUAUGUGUUAGCCAUUUGCUAAAUUGGUGAUAAGGUAGUGAUUAUUUUAAAUUGAUAAUAGUUCAAAUGAAAUAUAGAGUAUGAGUUAACCAUUUAAGUAUAAGUAUGUUUUGGCAUAAUGAUUUAUUAAAUAUUCGGCUUUGUUAAAUAUUUAUGUGUAUUUGGACAUAUGGUUUGUUUAUAUAAAAAUACAAUGUGAUCUUUAUUCAAGUCUUAUAUGGUACAGAAUAUUAGGAUAUUUGGUUUAUUUAACUUAAUGAUGGAAUAAGUAUUAAUAUAUAUAUAUAUAUGAAUUUUUGCUUAUGACUUACUAAGCCUUAAUAGCUUAAUGUGUGCUUGUAUUUGUUUACCUAUGUUUUAUAGAUUUUUGGAGUCGCAUUACGAGCUCGGGGAUCGUCAGCAUAGUCUAUCACACUAUCGACCGUCUUUGGUAUUUUGUAAAUUUGAAUUUGAACCUAUGCAUGUAUAGUCUAGUUAAUAUGUUUAAUUUUGGGAUAUGUGAAUAUGAGCCAUGCGAAAAUGGCUUAUUCAUUUUGGUUAAGCUUGGUUUUAUGUUUUUAAUCUAUUUGAUAUAUAUAUAUAUGAUGUUUAAAUUUAUGCAAAUUUCGGUUAUCUAUAUAGAAGUGUGAUGUGUUUAGCAUAUUGUUAAUAGUUGUAUAAAUUAGAUAUAUUUAAGCCUAUUUCGAAAGCAAUAUGUGUAUUAUAUGUAUAUGAU